AGGAACUUAGGUUAAUAUAGACCAAAGGCCUUCAAAGCCUUUAGUGGAGGUUAAACUCCUUCAGUU
Molecule: transfer RNA, 66 nt
Filed under: Meristogenys jerboa (Gunther's Borneo frog)
Lineage: Eukaryota; Metazoa; Chordata; Amphibia; Anura; Ranidae
Description: partial tRNA-Trp
Rfam family: tRNA
About the family: Transfer RNA (tRNA) molecules are approximately 80 nucleotides in length. Their secondary structure includes four short double-helical elements and three loops (D, anti-codon, and T loops). Further hydrogen bonds mediate the characteristic L-shaped molecular structure. tRNAs have two regions of fundamental functional importance: the anti-codon, which is responsible for specific mRNA codon recognition, and the 3' end, to which the tRNAs corresponding amino acid is attached (by aminoacyl-tRNA synthetases). tRNAs cope with the degeneracy of the genetic code in two manners: having more than one tRNA (with a specific anti-codon) for a particular amino acid; and 'wobble' base-pairing, i.e. permitting non-standard base-pairing at the 3rd anti-codon position.
Source: RNAcentral